Molecule: ribosomal RNA, 499 nt
Filed under: Galdieria sp. CCMEE 5511
Lineage: Eukaryota; Rhodophyta; Bangiophyceae; Galdieriales; Galdieriaceae
Description: bacterial SSU rRNA
Rfam family: Eukaryotic small subunit ribosomal RNA
Source: RNAcentral
AUAAACGAUGCCAUCUAAGAGAUGGUGUAAUGAAUUUUAUAAUCGUACAUCCUUUUUUUCCGGGAAACCAAAGCUUUUGGGUUCUGGGGGGAGUAUGGUCGCAAGUCUGAAACUUAAAGGAAUUGACGGAAGGGCACCACCAGGAGUGGAGCCUGCGGCUUAAUUUGACUCAACACGGGGCAACUUACCAGGUCCGGACAUUUUUAUGAUUGACAGAUUGAUAGCUCUUUCUUGAUUGAAUGGGUGGUGGUGCAUGGCCGUUCUUAGUUGGUGGAGUGAUUUGUCUGGUUAAUUCCGUUAACGAACGAGACCUUUUCCUGCUAACUAGUUUUAUUUAUUUUCUUUGAAAGGAGAUGGAUAAACUUCUUAGAGGUACUAUUCGUUUUUCACGGAUGGAAGUUGUAGGCAAUAACAGGUCUGUGAUGCCCUUUGAUGUCCUGGGCUGCACGCGGGCUACACUGAUGCAUUCAAAGAGUAUUUUUGUACCUACUCUGAGAAG